CCUACGGGAGGCAGCAGUAGGGAAUAUUGGUCAAUGGGCGGGAGCCUGAACCAGCCAAGCCGCGUGAGGGAAGAAGGUACAGCGUAUCGUAAACCUCUUUUGUCAGGGAACAAAGGCGGGGACUAGUCCCCGGAUGAGGGUACCUGAAGAAAAAGCAUCGGCUAACUCCGUGCCAGCAGCCGCGGUAAUACGGAGGAUGCGAGCGUUAUCCGGAUUUAUUGGGUUUAAAGGGGGCGCAGGCGGCCUGUUAAGUCAGCGGGAAAAGCCCGGGGCUCAACCCCGGCGAGCCGUUGAAACUGGCGGGCUGGAGUUGGAGAGAAGUACGCGGAAUGCGCGGUGUAGCGGUGAAAUGCUUAGAUAUCGCGCAGAACCCCGAUUGCGAAGGCAGCGUACCGGCUCCACACUGACGCUGAGGCACGAAAGCGUGGGUAUCGAACAGGAUUAGAUACCCGAGUAGUC
RNAcentral lists this ribosomal RNA (459 nucleotides) under uncultured bacterium. Its description in RNAcentral is "partial 16S ribosomal RNA". It matches the Rfam family "Bacterial small subunit ribosomal RNA", at positions 338 to 795 of the family's 1533-position model. The record is from RNAcentral.